CCCUUAGAUGUUCUGGGCCGCACGCGCGCUACACUGAUCAGUGCAACAAGCAUCCGUCCUUGGCCGACAGGCCCGGGCAAUCUUUGAACGCUGGUCGUGAUGGGGAUAGACUUUUGCAAUUUUUGGUCUUCAACGAGGAAUUCCUAGUAAACGCAAGUCAUCAACUUGCAUUGAUUACGUCCCUGCCCUUUGUACACACCGCCCGUCGCACCUACCGAUUGAAUGGUCCGGUGAAGCCUCCGGAUUGGCGCGCACCUCGGUGCCGCCGAGAAGUUGGCUAAACCUUACCAUUUAGAGGAAGGUGAAGUCGUANCA
RNAcentral lists this ribosomal RNA (315 nucleotides) under uncultured eukaryote. RNAcentral describes it as "partial 18S ribosomal RNA". It matches the Rfam family "Eukaryotic small subunit ribosomal RNA", at positions 1470 to 1796 of the family's 1831-position model. The record is from RNAcentral.